ACGGUAACAGGAAUCAGCUUGCUGAUUCGCUGACGAGUGGCGGACGGGUGAGUAAUGUCUGGGAAACUGCCUGAUGGAGGGGGAUAACUACUGGAAACGGUAGCUAAUACCGCAUAACGUCGCAAGACCAAAGAGGGGGACCUUCGGGCCUCUUGCCAUCGGAUGUGCCCAGAUGGGAUUAGCUAGUAGGUGGGGUAACGGCUCACCUAGGCGACGAUCCCUAGCUGGUCUGAGAGGAUGACCAGCCACACUGGAACUGAGACACGGUCCAGACUCCUACGGGAGGCAGCAGUGGGGAAUAUUGCACAAUGGGCGCAAGCCUGAUGCAGCCAUGCCGCGUGUAUGAAGAAGGCCUUCGGGUUGUAAAGUACUUUCAGCGGGGAGGAAGGGAGUAAAGUUAAUACCUUUACUCAUUGACGUUACCCGCAGAAGAAGCACCGGCUAACUCCGUGCCAGCAGCCGCGGUAAUACGGAGGGUGCAAGCGUUAAUCGGAAUUACUGGGCGUAAAGCGCACGCAGGCGGUUUGUUAAGUCAGAUGUGAAAUCCCCGGGCUCAACCUGGGAACUGCAUCUGAUACUGGCAAGCUUGAGUCUCGUAGAGGGGGGUAGAAUUCCAGGUGUAGCGGUGAAAUGCGU
RNAcentral lists this ribosomal RNA (636 nucleotides) under uncultured bacterium. RNAcentral describes it as "bacterial SSU rRNA". It matches the Rfam family "Bacterial small subunit ribosomal RNA", at positions 66 to 691 of the family's 1533-position model. The record is from RNAcentral.